CACAGUUAAAGAUUUGGCACACCUGCUUAUAAUUGACAAUGCUGCUUUGUCAUCUACCCUACCGGAUGUAUGUACAGCUUUAAUACUUUUCCUCACAUUACCAGUGACGGUGGCAUCUGCAGAAAGAUCAUUUUCCAAAUUAUCUCUGAUUAAAAAUUACUUGAGAAACAGCAUGUCACAACAACGGCUUUCUGGCCUUGCCCUUCUAAGCAUUGAGAAUGAAAGAGCAAGAAAACUGGACAUUCCAGCUAUUGUUGACAAAUUUGCUGAGUCUAAAGCGAGACGGCGCAACUUCUAGUAAUAUGUAUUUUGCGUAAGUGAGCAGUUUGUUGGGUACAGGGAGUUAUAUUAUCAAAGUUCAUACUAACCCAGUUCAAUUUAUUCAACUUUGGUUGUACUAAACAGUUAACUAGUUUGGUUCUAUUUUAGCUGCCUUCUUUUUGGUAACAAUGAUGCAGAUUAAUAAACAAUUCUGAUGUUGUUAGACUCUAAAACACAACGACCGCCUUUGAACUAUUUGAAUACAGCACUGGUUUCUGCACAACAAAAGCUUAAUAUCAAAAAGAAGGCAGAUGUUACCAACAUCAAAAAUACUUAACAUAAUUACUAAAUGCUACCAUCUCCUUUCCUACAGUGAGAACAAAUUGGUUCCUUUCUACUUGAUGCCUCCUCGUUGGACCUGGCUGGUUAAUUUUGAUGUUUCAUUUGGAUUUCUGUUCUGGUUAAGAAGCAUGACUCGUUCCUUUUCACAUUCAAAUUUUGUGAGAACAAAUUGGUUCCUUUCUACUUGAUGCCUCCUCGUUGGACCUGGCUGGUUAAUUUUGAUGUUUCAUUUGGAUUUCUGUUCUGGUUAAGAAGCAUGACUCGUUCCUUUUCACAUUCAAAUUUUGUGAGAACAAAUUGGUUCCUUUCUACUUGAUGCCUCCUCGUUGGACCUGGCUGGUUAAUUUUGAUGUUUUAUUUGGAUUUCUGUUCUUGUUAAG
Long non-coding RNA from Bufo bufo (common toad), 983 nucleotides. RefSeq lists it as uncharacterized. The record is from RefSeq and is a predicted model, not a curated record. The transcript has 3 exons. NCBI's taxonomy places the organism in Eukaryota, Metazoa, Chordata, Amphibia, Anura, Bufonidae.